Molecule: long non-coding RNA, 2141 nt
Organism: Anguilla rostrata (American eel)
Lineage: Eukaryota; Metazoa; Chordata; Actinopteri; Anguilliformes; Anguillidae
Exons: 5
Source: RefSeq, a predicted model, not a curated record
CUCUCUGAAAACUGAGAAGGGUGUGCCUGCAGCAAGCUGGGGAAUCUCCACCGGGAGAAUCUCCCCGGAGUUCGAUGACGUGAAGAGAACGGAGUAAACAACCGAACUUUUUAAAGCGAAAUUGAUGGAGGUAGAUAUAUCCAUCUGGAAUGCUGGCUCUCCAUCAAUGAAAGAAUGCAACACGUGCUGCCAACGCUUAUUCCACUGCCCGCUGAGCCCAACCUUCAAACCAUCAAAGGUGACAAAUAUUCAGAGGCAUGUGAAAUCACAUGCAAAAAAUGCUGUGCAUUUCUAAGAUAUGCAGACAUUAAACCCAUAUUCCUGUCUGUUUGAAAUGACACCAAUUCUGCCUAGUCUGUUCAAACUGGUGCCCGUUCUACUGUACAUCUCCUUUGUAAGCUAAGAAGUUCCUUUCAGCUGACUACAUCAGAAUCUGUACUAUUGGCAUUUUAUGAGAGCUGAAAAUGUGCAACAUUGUUAACCAGAAAUUAUAUCUGGGUGGGUAAAUUGAUGGAUAUGCUGUAGAACAUAGUUUGUCAUUGAUUUAUAAAUAUACCCAUAUAUCCUGGGCUUUCACUGAUGGUUUAAUUGUGGUACAUAUGGCACUGGCCUGAUAUGCAUUCUGUGCUUGCAUUUUGCUUCUACCUGACCGCUUCCUGCAUGUUAGCUGAGACAAUCCUCUUGUCAGAGCAGAUACCUACCUCCGCCACUUUCAGAGCAAAUCACCAAAAACUCUGUGUAGUCAGACUGUCAAGCUCAUGGCAGCAUCUGCUGCCAGUGUGCAAGAAAAAAUUGACAGAAGUGAAAUCAACAUGAUGGGCUACCUCUUUGAUGUCAUACUUCAAGAGGUAAUCAUCAGGAUCUUGAAAAAGAAUGAGGGCUUCAGCUGCUAUCAGGCAGAAUUUGCCAUGGCCAGCGGAUUUCACCAUUAAAGGCUGAAUAAAUGUGAUAGUCUUGAUUGUAUUUAUUUUGGAUGUUUGAUUAAAGAAAAAUCUAUUGUAACAAGUGGUUUUUGUCUCAUUUUAUUAAGCCUAUUCAAAUUUUGACAUGUCUCAUUGCUGCAUAAUUUCCUGAGGAAUUAUGAUUCUUUGGUGUACAACUACAUCUGAGAUUUAAGUGUCCACAGUUAUGACUCGAUGUUUGAAUGUGAUGAAUCGUCAUCCGCUUUUCGGCGACAUGAAAGCGUAUAUUUAAAUAGCGUUGGUGCAUCUAAUCCAGGAGUGAGAUAUAUACUCGGGAGACUUCGGUAAGAUUAAAAUGAGUUUAAUCAAAAAUAUUCUCAUUAGACAUGAAUAAUUAAAUUGUCAUGAACUGAUUAAUCAUUAGAAGUUAUCAGUUGUAUUCCCUGAGAAACACCAGACUCGUAAAUGCACAAACAGGUGUGUCUCCAGAGAAGAGAUGACAACUCCCUUUUAAGGUAAACAUGGUAUCGUAGAUGCGAGGGUAUCAUAGUCACAGCAUACCGAGACUUCUAAAACUAAUUAUAGGCCCACUGUAAGGCUACAGUGAAUACAUGUACAUUUAAAUAAACAGUAAUUAAAAUAUGCAUUAUAUAUAAUUUAUACAUGAAGCCAGCAUUACGCCCGGCUUGUUAUUAGCCUAGUACGGAGCACUAAGGGUGUUAUCUUAACGUAGCUAAGUGCUGCGUUGUAACCAGACUUAUCGACCGUUAAUUAAAACGACUUGAUAUACAAGUGGUAACAUCUUAAAAACCAACUCGUUUCCGAAAUAAAGGAGGUCAGGUGACUUGAAUUCGUGGUGUGCAGGUUACGCAAUUUCCGUGUCCUUCCACUUUUUUCAUUGGGUCCUUCACAUGGAGGUCACGUGCUUCCUGUCCUCUCCGUGGAGAUCGAUAGUGGAGAUGCUCCUGGUAGAUUUGGGGUGUGGAGGUUACGCAAUUUCCAGUCCUUCUGCUUUUUCAUUGGGUCCUCUACAUGGAGGUCACGUGCUUCCGGUCCUCUCCGGGGAGAUUGUCCUGGUGGAGAUUCCCCAGCUUGCUGCAGGCAGGUUCUACUGCUUUAUCAUUGGAUCCUCUACAUGGAGGUCACGUGCUUCCGGUCCUCUCCAUGGAGAUUCUCCUGGUGGAGAUUCCCCAGCUUGAUGCAGGCAGGUUCUUUUAACAUACGCUGCGUGGUGGAAGC